This 1976-nucleotide long non-coding RNA is filed under the name Homo sapiens (human). Its description in RNAcentral is "non-protein coding lnc-UPK3B-5:3". Lineage: Eukaryota; Metazoa; Chordata; Mammalia; Primates; Hominidae. The record is from RNAcentral.
CGCUUCCUGCGCCUGUUCAGGUCAUCGCUUGCUCUGGUUCCCAGGCUUUGGCCUCUAGUGGACGAGAAUCACCGAGUCUGCGGGGCUAGACGCUGACCGCCCGGGCCAGCACCUAGGCGGGCGGGAGCUGUGCGGCCCAGGGUUCGCGCGGGCCGGGUAGAGGCUCGAGCCAGGACCCCCGAGCGUGAACCCCGGAGCCGGCGGCGCUGGGGCCAGAGGGGCCGGGCGGGAGGUGAUGGCGGAGGCGAAGGGGCGACGGGACCUGGGCCUGGCCCGUGUGUGUCCUCAGAGGCCUGGCGCCGGCCGUCGCUGUACGGUCUAUCAGCCACAGUCUCUGCAAGUUUCCAAGAGCAGCAGAAAAUGAACACAUUGCAGGUGAGUUUUCCUGCUUGUGUAUAUGUUCCUCAAUUUUAUUUUAUGAUGCAUUUUAAGAGGUUUGUAAGGAUUCAUACUUUUUUUUUUCUUUUUUUUGAGAUGGAGUCUUGCUCUGUUGCCCAGGCUGCAGUGCAGUGGCAUGAUCUCGCUUCACUGCAACCUCCACCUCCUGGGUUCAAGUGAUUCUCCUGCCUCAGCCUCCUGAGUAGCAGGGAUUACAGGCGUGCGCCACCAUGCCCAGCUAAUUUUUUGUAUUUUUAGAAGAGAUGGGGUUUCACUAUGUUGGCCAGGCUGGUCUCAAACUCCUGACCUCAGGUGAUCUUCCCACCUCAGCCUCCCAAAGUGCUGGGAUUACAGGCAUGAGCCACCAAGCCCAGCCAGGAUUCAUACUUUAAAAUGGGAAUGUGGAAAUAGACAUUAUCCUGUAAAAUAUAGUUAGUGUGGCAGAUCAGCACCAAAAAUGAUUUGUGAAGCUUGUAUGUAUGGGUAGUAUAUUUUAAGGCUGUUGAAAUUGAGCCGCACCUAGGACUGAUAUUCUUGGCAGUCAUCACAAAAGGAAAGUGCCAUCUGUAUUAGUCCAUUCUCACACUGCUAUAGAGAAAUAACCAAGACUGGGUAAUUUAUAAAGUAAAGAGGUUUAAUUGGCUCACGUCUGCAGGCUCUAUCAUAGGAAGCAUGGCUGAGGAGGCCUCAGGAAACUUACAGUCAGGUGAAAGGUGAAGGGAAAGCGGGCGCAUCUUCCAUCACCAGAGCAGGAGGAAGAGGGAACACUGGGGAUUACAAUUGAACAUGAGAUUUGGGAGGCAACACACACCGAAACCAUAUCACCAUCCAUGACAUCGUUUGCAUUGAUUAUAAGGAGAAACCAGUUUUGUUACUUGUGGAUUUAAAAGAUUUUCUGGGACUUGGAAAAAUUUCUUCAUUCAAGUUGGUGUAAUUGUGGAUAGCUUUCCUAACAACAACCAUUAAUUACUGUAACUUAUGGCUUAUUCUUGGUGCUUAUGUAAGCAGAGGGCCUGCUGCCCAAGGAGAACUUGGUGCAUAUAAUUUUUCCAGGGACGGAAAUAUCGUGAUCCAAGUAAACAAUUCUGUUUUUACUGUUGAGUCCUAGAUCAUGGGGGGAAUGAAUGACGUGAUCAUCCGUCAAAUAUUUGUUCGUCUUUUUGUUCGGGUUGCACAGCAAACAAUACAGACAGUUACUCUCUUGUGAAGAUUUCCUCAUUUCUGUUUCUCAUUUCACUUCUCAGUGUUUUCGUUUUGUCCUCAAUAAAUUAGGUAUUGAUGGGACGUAUUUCAAAAUAAUAAGAGCUAUCUAUGACAAACCCACAGCCAAUAUCAUACUGAAUGGGCAAAAACUGGAAGCAUUCCCUUUGAAAACUGGCACAAGACAGGGAUGCCCUCUCUCACCACUCCUAUUCAACAUAGUGUUGGAAGUUCUGGCCAGGGCAAUUAGGCAGGAGAAGGAAAUAAAGGGUAUUCAAUUAGGAAAAGAGGAAGUCAAAUUGAAAUUUAACUCAUCUUUCUUAUGUGACUCUAAAGGUCAAACCAUACCACCUGAAUAUUUUUAUCCUCUCUGAAUAUUUCCAUUAAAGAGUUUAUUU